Molecule: ribosomal RNA, 465 nt
Filed under: uncultured Neisseriaceae bacterium
Lineage: Bacteria; Pseudomonadati; Pseudomonadota; Betaproteobacteria; Neisseriales; Neisseriaceae
Description: bacterial SSU rRNA
Rfam family: Bacterial small subunit ribosomal RNA
Source: RNAcentral
CCUACGGGUGGCAGCAGUGGGGAAUUUUGGACAAUGGGGGCAACCCUGAUCCAGCCAUGCCGCGUGUCUGAAGAAGGCCUUCGGGUUGUAAAGGACUUUUGUUAGGGAAGAAAAGGGAAGUGCUAAUACCACUUUUUGCUGACGGUACCUAAAGAAUAAGCACCGGCUAACUACGUGCCAGCAGCCGCGGUAAUACGUAGGGUGCGAGCGUUAAUCGGAAUUACUGGGCGUAAAGCGAGCGCAGACGGUUACUUAAGCAGGAUGUGAAAUCCCCGGGCUCAACCUGGGAACUGCGUUCUGAACUGGGUAGCUAGAGUAUGUCAGAGGGGGGUAGAAUUCCACGUGUAGCAGUGAAAUGCGUAGAGAUGUGGAGGAAUACCGAUGGCGAAGGCAGCCCCCUGGGAUAAUACUGACGUUCAUGCUCGAAAGCGUGGGUAGCAAACAGGAUUAGAUACCCCUGUAGUC